This 2791-nucleotide ribosomal RNA is filed under the name Haemophilus influenzae. Its description in RNAcentral is "bacterial LSU rRNA". It matches the Rfam family "Bacterial large subunit ribosomal RNA". Lineage: Bacteria; Pseudomonadati; Pseudomonadota; Gammaproteobacteria; Pasteurellales; Pasteurellaceae. The record is from RNAcentral.
AGCGUACAAGGUGGAUGCCUUGGCAAUCAGAGGCGAAGAAGGACGUGCUAAUCUGCGAAAAGCUUGGAUGAGUCGAUAAGAGGCGUUUAAUCCAAGAUAUCCGAAUGGGGAAACCCAGUAGAUGAAGAAUCUACUAUCAACAAGUGAAUUCAUAGCUUGUUGAGGCAAACCGGGAGAACUGAAACAUCUAAGUACCCCGAGGAAAAGAAAUCAACCGAGAUUUCGUCAGUAGCGGCGAGCGAAAGCGAAAGAGCCAGUAAGUGAUAACAGUAUGGUUAGGAGAAUGUGUUGGGAAGCACAAUCAAAGAGGGUGAUAAUCCCGUAUCUAAAAACCAUAUUGUGGUACUAAGCUAACGAGAAGUAGGGCGGGACACGUGAUAUCCUGUUUGAAGAAGGGGGGACCAUCCUCCAAGGCUAAAUACUCCUGAUUGACCGAUAGUGAACCAGUACUGUGAAGGAAAGGCGAAAAGAACCCCGGUGAGGGGAGUGAAAUAGAACCUGAAACCUUGUACGUACAAGCAGUGGGAGCCUGAAAGGGUGACUGCGUACCUUUUGUAUAAUGGGUCAGCGACUUAUAUUUUGUAGCGAGGUUAACCGAAUAGGGGAGCCGAAGGGAAACCGAGUCUUAACUGGGCGUCUAGUUGCAAGGUAUAGACCCGAAACCCGGUGAUCUAGCCAUGGGCAGGUUGAAGGUUGGGUAACACUAACUGGAGGACCGAACCGACUAAUGUUGAAAAAUUAGCGGAUGACUUGUGGCUGGGGGUGAAAGGCCAAUCAAACCGGGAGAUAGCUGGUUCUCCCCGAAAUCUAUUUAGGUAGAGCCUUGAGGUGACACCUUUGGGGGUAGAGCACUGUUUCGGCUAGGGGUCCAUCCCGGAUUACCAACCCGAUGCAAACUACGAAUACCAAAGAGUGAUACUCAGGAGACACACGGCGGGUGCUAACGUCCGUCGUGGAGAGGGAAACAACCCAGACCGCCAGCUAAGGUCCCCAAGUCUAUAUUAAGUGGGAAACGAAGUGGGAAGGCUUAGACAGCUAGGAUGUUGGCUUAGAAGCAGCCAUCAUUUAAAGAAAGCGUAAUAGCUCACUAGUCGAGUCGGCCUGCGCGGAAGAUGUAACGGGGCUGAAAUAUAGCACCGAAGCUGCGGCAUCAGGCGUAUCACUAAUACGCCUUACGAUUAACAAGCUAGAAUGGCGCGAAGCGGCAUGAAAGGUUGUUCAAGCAACCCGAACGUUGAGUCGGGGUAUUUUUGAAGUAAGGAUUAUUAGUGAUACGCCUGUUGGGUAGGGGAGCGUUGUGUAAGCGGAUGAAGGUUAAUCGAGAGGUUAGCUGGACGUAUCACAAGUGCGAAUGCUGACAUAAGUAACGAUAAAACGGGUGAAAAACCCGUUCGCCGGAAGACCAAGGGUUCCUGUCCAACGUUAAUCGGGGCAGGGUGAGUCGGCUCCUAAGGCGAGGCUGAAAAGCGUAGUCGAUGGGAAACAGGUUAAUAUUCCUGUACUUGGUAAAGCUGCGAUGUGGGGACGGAGUAGGUUAGGUUAUCGCACUGUUGGAUAUGUGCGUUUAAGUUGGUAGGUGGGAAGUUUAGGCAAAUCCGGACUUCCUUAACACAGAGAGAUGAUGACGAGGCUCUACGGAGCUGAAGUAACUGAUACCACACUUCCAGGAAAAGCCACUAAGCGAAAGGCUUUACUAAACCGUACUGAAAACCGACACAGGUGGUCAGGUAGAGAAUACUCAGGCGCUUGAGAGAACUCGGGUGAAGGAACUAGGCAAAAUAGCACCGUAACUUCGGGAGAAGGUGCGCCGGCGUAGAUUGUAGUCCCUAGCGGGCGAAGGUUGAACCGGUCGAAGAUACCAGCUGGCUGCAACUGUUUAUUAAAAACACAGCACUCUGCAAACACGAAAGUGGACGUAUAGGGUGUGAUGCCUGCCCGGUGCUGGAAGGUUAAUUGAUGGUGUCAUCGAAAGAGAAGCACCUGAUCGAAGCCCCAGUAAACGGCGGCCGUAACUAUAACGGUCCUAAGGUAGCGAAAUUCCUUGUCGGGUAAGUUCCGACCUGCACGAAUGGCAUAAUGAUGGCCAGGCUGUCUCCACCCGAGACUCAGUGAAAUUGAAAUCGCCGUGAAGAUGCGGUGUACCCGCGGCUAGACGGAAAGACCCCGUGAACCUUUACUAUAGCUUGACACUGAACAUUGAAUUUUGAUGUGUAGGAUAGGUGGGAGACUUAGAAGUAGGAACGCCAGUUUCUAUGGAGUCAUCCUUGAAAUACCACCCUUUAACGUUUGAUGUUCUAACGAAGACUACGGAACGUGGUCUCGGACAGUGUCUGGUGGGUAGUUUGACUGGGGCGGUCUCCUCCCAAAGCGUAACGGAGGAGCACGAAGGUUUGCUAAUCACGGUCGGACAUCGUGAGGUUAGUGCAAUGGUAUAAGCAAGCUUAACUGCGAGACAGACAAGUCGAGCAGGUACGAAAGUAGGUCAUAGUGAUCCGGUGGUUCUGAAUGGAAGGGCCAUCGCUCAACGGAUAAAAGGUACUCCGGGGAUAACAGGCUGAUACCGCCCAAGAGUUCAUAUCGACGGCGGUGUUUGGCACCUCGAUGUCGGCUCAUCACAUCCUGGGGCUGAAGUAGGUCCCAAGGGUAUGGCUGUUCGCCAUUUAAAGUGGUACGCGAGCUGGGUUUAGAACGUCGUGAGACAGUUCGGUCCCUAUCUGCCGUGGGCGUUGGAUGAUUGAUUGGGGCUGCUCCUAGUACGAGAGGACCGGAGUGGACGCAUCACUGGUGUUCC